CAGGAUGAACGCGGGCGGCGUGCUUAAUACAUGCAAGUCGAACGGAGAGUUUUGUAGUAAUACGAAACUUCUCAGUGGCGAACGGGCGAGUAACGAGUUGGUGACCUGCCCCGAAGUGUGGGAUAACAGUCCGAAAGGAUUGCUAAUACCGCAUGUGAUUAUCGGUUUUAGAAUCUGAUAAUUAAAGCAGUAAUGCGCUUCGGGAGGGACCUGCUUCCCAUCAGCUAGUUGGUGAGGUAAUGGCCCACCAAGGCUACGACGGGUAAGGGACCUGAGAGGGUGGUCCCUCGCAAUGGCACUGAAACACGGGCCAUACACCUACGGGUGGCAGCAGUAGGGAAUAUUGGGCAAUGGGCGAAAGCCUGACCCAGCAACGCCGCGUGCACGAUGAAGGCCUUCGGGUCGUAAAGUGCUUUUCUGAGGGAUGAGUAAGGACAGUACCUCAGGAAUAAGCCUCGGCUAACUAUGUGCCAGCAGCCGCGGUAAAACGUAGAGGCAAGCGUUAUCCGGAUUUACUGGGCGUAAAGCGUGUGUAGGCGGUUCGGCAAGUUGGAUGUGAAAGCUCCUGGCUUAACUAGGAGAGGUCGUUCAAUACUACCGAACUUGAGGGCAUCAGAGGAAGGUGGAAUUCCCGGUGUAGUGGUGAAAUGCGUAGAUAUCGGGAGGAACACCAGUGGCGAAGGCGGCCUUCUGGGAUGUUCCUGACGCUCAGACACGAAAGCUAGGGUAGCGAACGGGAUUAGAGACCCCGGUAGUCCUAGCAGUAAACGAUGUAGACUUGGUGUCGGAGGUGUCAAAACCUUCGGUAUCGUAGCUAACGCGAUAAGUCUACCGCCUGGGGACUACGGCCGCA
RNAcentral lists this ribosomal RNA (853 nucleotides) under uncultured bacterium. RNAcentral describes it as "bacterial SSU rRNA". It matches the Rfam family "Bacterial small subunit ribosomal RNA", at positions 25 to 890 of the family's 1533-position model. The record is from RNAcentral.